GAUGAACGCUGGCGGCGUGCCUAAUACAUGCAAGUCGAGCGAACGGACGAGACUCUUGCUUCUCUGAUGUUAGCGGCGGACGGGUGAUUAACACGUGGCUAACCUACCUAUAAGACUGGGAUAACUUCGGGAAACCGGAUCUAAUACCGGAUGAUAUUUUGAACCUCAUGGUUCAAAAGUGAAAGACGGUCUUGCUGUCACUUAUAGAUGUAUCCGCGCUGCAUUAGCUAGUUGGUAAGGUAACGGCUUACCAAGGCAACGAUGCAUAGCCGACCUGAGAGGGUGAUCAGCCACACUGGAACUGAGACACGGUCCAGACUCCUACGGGAGGCAGCAGUAGGGAAUAUUCCGCAAUGGGCGAAAGCCUGACGGAGCAACGCCGCGUGAGUGAUGAAGGUCUUCGGAUCGUAAAACUCUGUUAGUAGGGAAGAACAUAUGUGUAAGUAACUGUGCACAUCUUGACGGUACCUAAUCAGAAAGCCACGGCUAACUACGUG
Molecule: ribosomal RNA, 497 nt
Filed under: uncultured bacterium
Lineage: Bacteria
Description: partial 16S ribosomal RNA
Rfam family: Bacterial small subunit ribosomal RNA
Source: RNAcentral